UAAGGAGGGCGCAAGCGUUGUUCGGAAUUACUGGGCGUAAAGCGCGUGUAGGCGGCCAGGUAAGUCGGAUGUGAAGGCCCGGGGCCCAACCCCGGAACUGCACCCGAUACUGCCUGGCUGGAGUCCCGGAGAGGAUGGCGGAAUUUCCGGUGUAGAGGUGAAAUUCGUAGAUAUCGGAAGGAACACCAGUGGCGAAGGCGGCCAUCUGGACGGUGACUGACGCUGAGACGCGAAAGCGUGGGGAGCAAACAGG
RNAcentral lists this ribosomal RNA (253 nucleotides) under uncultured bacterium. RNAcentral's name for it is "partial 16S ribosomal RNA". It matches the Rfam family "Bacterial small subunit ribosomal RNA", at positions 524 to 776 of the family's 1533-position model. The record is from RNAcentral.